This 89-nucleotide ribosomal RNA is filed under the name Vreelandella gomseomensis. The record is from RNAcentral. RNAcentral also lists the same sequence under 1 other name. Lineage: Bacteria; Pseudomonadati; Pseudomonadota; Gammaproteobacteria; Oceanospirillales; Halomonadaceae.
CCUGAUCCCUUGCCGAACUCAGCAGUGAAACCGCUUCGCGCCGAUGGUAGUGUGGGGUCUCCCCAUGCGAGAGUAGGUCAUCGUCAGGC